AGGGCGCAUGGCGGAUGCCUUGGCUCUCGGAGGCGAUGAAGGACGUGAUAAGCUGCGAUAAGCUUUGGGGAGGUGCAAAUGACCUUUGAUCCAGAGAUUUCCGAAUGGGACAACCCAAUAUCUUGAAGAGGUAUUAUCUUACUAUGUAAGAGGCUAACGCAGGGAACUGAAACAUCUUAGUACCUGCAGGAAAAGAAAAUAAACAAUGAUUCCCCCAGUAGUGGCGAGCGAACGGGGAACAGCCCAAACCAUCCAUGUUACGGCAUGGGUGGGGUUGUAGGACUACGCCGUUGCAUGAAGACAUCAGAGAAGAACUUUCUGGAAAGAAAGACCAUAGAGCAUGACAGUUGCGUAUUCGAAUGUUGUCGAAGCAUAGUAGUAUCCUGAGUAGCGCGGAGCACGAGGAAUUCUGCGUGAAUCUGCCGGGACCAUCCGGUAAGGCUAAAUACUCCCGAGAGACCGAUAGCGAACCAGUACCGUGAGGGAAAGGUGAAAAGCACUUCGAACAGAAGAGUGAAAUAGUUCCUGAAACCGUGCGCCUACAAGCGGUCGGAGCUCGUUAAUGAGUGACGGCGUGCCUUUUGCAUAAUGAACCUACGAGUUGCCUUUGCCGGCAAGGUUAAGUGUGACGACACACGUAUCCGAAGCGAAAGCGAGUCUGAACAGGGCGUAUAGUCGGCAGUGGCAGACGCGAAACCAAGUGAUCUACCCUUGGCCAGGUUGAAGGCUGGGUAACACCAGCUGGAGGACCGCACCAAUAAGCGUUGAAAAGCUUCUGGAUGAGCUGAGGGUAGGGGUGAAAGGCUAAUCAAACUUGGAGAUAGCUCGUACUCCCCGAAAUGCAUUUAGGUGCAGCCUUGCGGGUUACUGAUGUGAGGUAGAGCGACUGAUAAGAUGCGAGGGCUUCACCGCCUAUCAAGUCUUGACAAACUCCGAAUGCGCAUCAGUUCUACCGCAGGAGUGAGGGCAUGGGUGCUAAGGUCCGUGCCCGAGAGGAGAAGAAUCCGGACCACCUGCUAAGGUCCCGAAAUGACAGCUAAGUUAAACUAACGAAGUCUGACUGCUAAGACAGCUAGGAUGUUGGCUUGGAAGCAGCCAUUCAUUUAAAGAGUGCGUAACAGCUCACUAGUCGAGGAGUUUUGCAUGGAUAAUAAUCGGGCAUAAGCCCUUUACCGAAGCUGUGGAUGUCGUAAGACAUGGUAGGGGAGCAUUCCGGCGGCGACGAAGGCCGUCCUCGAGGACGACUGGAGCUUUCGGAAAAGCAAAUGUAGGUAUAAGUAACGAUAAAGGGGGCGUGAAACCCCCUCGCCAUAAGACUAAGGAUUCCUGAUCAACGCUAAUCGGAUCAGGGUAAGUCGGGCCCUAAGGCGCAGCCGAACGGCGUAGCCGAUGGAAGAAACGGUAAAGAUUCCGUUACUGGAUAUAGGAGCGAUGUGGAGACGGAGAAGUGACACACCCGCCUGCCGACGGAAGCGCAGGUUAAAGGAAGUAGGUAAACGCCGGGUAGGCAAAUCCGCCUGGCGUGCCGAAGCUGACAGUAUCGAGAGCCCCCGGGCAAUCGAAUAGCGGUGGUAAUCAGGCUCCCAAGAAAAUCCGCUAAGCAUAUUCUAUAUCCACCCGUACCCCAAACGGACACACGUAGUCGGGUAGAAUAUACCAAGGCGCUCGAAAGACUCACGGUUAAGGAACUAGGCAAAUUGACCCUGUAACCUCGGGAAAAAGGGUCCCCAGUAAGAUGGGGCGCAGAGAAUAGGUCCAGGCAACUGUUUAACAAAAACACAGGGCUGUGCAAAAUUUGAAGAUGAAGUAUACAGCCUGACACCUGCCCGGUGCCGGAAGGUUAAGAGGAGAGCUAAUCGCAAGAGAAGGCUUGAAUUGAAGCCCCGGUAAACGGCGGCCGUAACUAUAACGGUCCUAAGGUAGCGAAAUUCCUUGUCGGGUAAGUUCCGACCUGCACGAAUGGUGUAACGAUCUGGGUACUGUCUCAACCAUGAGCUCGGUGAAAUUGUAGUUCCGGUGAAGAUGCCGGAUACCCGCAACGGGACGGAAAGACCCCGUGAACCUUUACUGCAGCUUUGCAUUGAACUGUGAACCGAUUUGUGUAGGAUAGGUGGGAGGCAGAGAAGAGGCCACGCCAGUGGUCUUGGAGCCGGCCUUGAAAUACCACCCUGAUUUGUUUGCGGUUCUAACCACGGACAGUGAUCCUGUCUUGGGACCGUGCAUGGUAGGCAGUUUGACUGGGGCGGUCUCCUCCUAAAGGGUAACGGAGGAGUACGAAGGUACGCUAGGUACGGUCGGAAAUCGUGCUGAUAGUGCAAUGGCAAAAGCGUGCUUGACUGCGAGAGCAACAACUCGAGCAGAUGCGAAAGCAGGUCAUAGUGAUCCGGUGGUUCUGAAUGGAAGGGCCAUCGCUCAACGGAUAAAAGGUACUCUGGGGAUAACAGGCUGAUACCGCCCAAGAGUUCAUAUCGACGGCGGUGUUUGGCACCUCGAUGUCGGCUCAUCUCAUCCUGGGGCUGUAGUCGGUCCCAAGGGUAUGGCUGUUCGCCAUUUAAAGAGGUACGUGAGCUGGGUUUAAAACGUCGUGAGACAGUUUGGUCCCUAUCUGCCGUGGGCGUUGGAAGAUUGACGGGGGCUGCUCCUAGUACGAGAGGACCGGAGUGGACGCACCUCUGGUGUACCGGUUGUCACGCCAGUGGCAUUGCCGGGUAGCUAAGUGCGGAAGAGAUAACCGCUGAAAGCAUCUAAGCGGGAAACUUGCCUGAAGAUGAGUCUUCCCGGAGGUAAAACCUCCCUCAAGAGUCGUCCGAGACCAGGACGUCGAUAGGUCAGGUGUGUAAGCGCUGUAAGGCGUUGAGCUAACUGAUACUAAUUGCUCGUGAGGCUUG
This 2888-nucleotide ribosomal RNA is filed under the name human gut metagenome. RNAcentral's name for it is "bacterial LSU rRNA". It matches the Rfam family "Bacterial large subunit ribosomal RNA". The record is from RNAcentral.